This 403-nucleotide ribosomal RNA is filed under the name uncultured bacterium. RNAcentral describes it as "partial 16S ribosomal RNA". It matches the Rfam family "Bacterial small subunit ribosomal RNA", at positions 30 to 526 of the family's 1533-position model. The record is from RNAcentral.
AUUGAACGCUGGCGGCAGGCCUAACACAUGCAAGUCGAGCGAGCGGCGGACGGGUGAGUAAUGUAUGGGGACUGCCCGAUAGAGGGGGAUAACUACUGGAAACGGUAGCUAAUACCGCAUACUAUCGGAUAACCCAUAUGGGAUUAGCUAGUUGGUGAGGUAAUGGCUCACCAAGGCGACGAUCCCUAGCUGGUCUGAGAGGAUGAUCAGCCACACUGGGACUGAGACACGGCCCAGACUCCUACGGAGGCAGCAGUGGGGAAUAUUGCGCAAUGGGGGCAACCCUGACGCAGCCAUGCCGCGUGAAUGAAGAAGGCCUUCGGGUUGUAAAGUUCUUUCGGUAGCGAGGCGUUAACUACAGAAGAAGCACCGGCUAACUCCGUGCCAGCAGCCGCGGUAAUUC